GUGUUUGCCUUGGUAGCACAUAUACUAAAACUGGAUUGAUAAGAGAAGAUUAGCAUGCCUCCUGCAUAAGAUGACUUGAAAAUUUGUAAAAGUUACAGAGAUGGGU
Ochotona princeps (American pika) is the source of this 106-nucleotide small nuclear RNA. The record is from Ensembl. Lineage: Eukaryota; Metazoa; Chordata; Mammalia; Lagomorpha; Ochotonidae.